Molecule: non-coding RNA, 24 nt
Filed under: Cricetulus griseus (Chinese hamster)
Lineage: Eukaryota; Metazoa; Chordata; Mammalia; Rodentia; Cricetidae
Source: RNAcentral
UAUAAGGUGUUGGAUUAUUGUAUU